RNAcentral lists this ribosomal RNA (229 nucleotides) under uncultured bacterium. Its description in RNAcentral is "partial 16S ribosomal RNA". It matches the Rfam family "Bacterial small subunit ribosomal RNA", at positions 568 to 796 of the family's 1533-position model. The record is from RNAcentral.
CGCGUAGGCGGUCUGAUAAGUCAGUUGUGAAAGCCCGGGGCUCAACCCCGGAAGUGCAAUUGAAACUGUCAGGCUUGAGUAUGGUAGAGGGAAGUGGAAUUCCUGGUGUAGCGGUGAAAUGCGUAGAUAUCAGGAGGAACACCGGUGGCGAAGGCGACUUCCUGGACCAAUACUGACGCUGAGGCGCGAAGGUGUGGGUAGCAAACAGGAUUAGAUACCCUGGUAGUCC